RNAcentral lists this ribosomal RNA (301 nucleotides) under uncultured bacterium. RNAcentral describes it as "partial 16S ribosomal RNA". It matches the Rfam family "Bacterial small subunit ribosomal RNA", at positions 509 to 807 of the family's 1533-position model. The record is from RNAcentral.
CAGUAGCCGCGGGAAUACAGAGGGUGCGAGCGUUAAUCGGAUUUACUGGGCGUAAAGCGUGCGUAGGCGGCUUCUUAAGUCGGAUGUGAAAUCCCUGAGCUUAACUUAGGAAUUGCAUUCGAUACUGGGAAGCUAGAGUAUGGGAGAGGAUGGUAGAAUUCCAGGUGUAGCGGUGAAAUGCGUAGAGAUCUUGAGGAAUACCGAUGGCGAAGGCAGCCAUCUGGCCUAAUACUGACGCUGAGGUACGAAAGCAUGGGGAGCAAACAGGAUUAGAUACCCCAGUAGUCCCUGUCUCUUAUAC